This 409-nucleotide ribosomal RNA is filed under the name uncultured bacterium. Its description in RNAcentral is "bacterial SSU rRNA". It matches the Rfam family "Bacterial small subunit ribosomal RNA", at positions 29 to 424 of the family's 1533-position model. The record is from RNAcentral.
AACGAACGCUGGCGGCGUGGAUAAGACAUGCAAGUCGAACGGAAUUACUUUUGUAGCAAUACAGAAGUAAUUCAGUGGCGAACGGGUGCGUAACACGUGGGCAAUCUGCCGAAAAGUGGGGGAUAGCUCGCCGAAAGGCGAAUUAAUACCGCAUGUGGUGAGGGACGACAUCUUCCUGAAUCCAAAGCCGGGGCAACCUGGCGCUUUUUGAGGAGCCCGCGGCCUAUCAGCUGUUGGUGAGGUAACGGCUCACCAAGGCUUUGACGGGUAGCUGGUCUGAGAGGACGACCAGUCACACUGGAACUGAGACACGGUCCAGACACCUACGGGUGGCAGCAGUCGAGAAUUUUUCUCAAUGGGGGAAACCCUGAAGGAGCGACGCCGCGUGGAGGAUGAAGGCUUUCGGGUU